RNAcentral lists this ribosomal RNA (575 nucleotides) under uncultured bacterium. Its description in RNAcentral is "bacterial SSU rRNA". It matches the Rfam family "Bacterial small subunit ribosomal RNA", at positions 232 to 823 of the family's 1533-position model. The record is from RNAcentral.
UGCGGCACAUUAGCUAGUAGGUGAGGUAAGAGCUCACCUAGGCGACGAUGUGUAGCCGGUCUGAGAGGAUGAACGGCCACAAUGGAACUGAGACACGGUCCAUACUCCUACGGGAGGCAGCAGUGGGGAAUAUUGCACAAUGGGGGAAACCCUGAUGCAGCAACGCCGCGUGAGUGAAGAAGGUUUUCGGAUUGUAAAGCUCUGUUAGCAGGGAAGAGGAAGGACGGUACCUGCAGAGGAAGCCACGGCUAACUACGUGCCAGCAGCCGCGGUAAUACGUAGGUGGCAAGCGUUGUUCGGAAUAACUGGGCGUAAAGGAUGCGUAGGCGGUUGAGUAAGUUAUGUGUUAAAUAUAUAGGCUUAACCUGUAGAAAGCACAUAAAGCUGUUUAACUAGAGUGCAGGAGAGGUAAGUGGAAUUCCUAGUGUAGCGGUGAAAUGCGUAGAGAUUAGGAAGAACACCAGUGGCGAAGGCGACUUACUGGACUGUAACUGACGCUGAGGCAUGAGAGCAUGGGGAGCAAACAGGAUUAGAUACCCUGGUAGUCCAUGCUGUAAACGAUGGGUACUAGGUGU